AAGUCGUAACAAGGUAGCCGUAGGGGAACCUGCGGCUGGAUCACCUCCUUAAUCGACGACA
This 61-nucleotide ribosomal RNA is filed under the name Pseudomonas synxantha. Its description in RNAcentral is "partial 16S ribosomal RNA". The stretch from base 1 to 51 matches the Rfam family "Bacterial small subunit ribosomal RNA", at positions 1483 to 1533 of the family's 1533-position model. The record is from RNAcentral. RNAcentral also lists the same sequence under 1 other name. Lineage: Bacteria; Pseudomonadati; Pseudomonadota; Gammaproteobacteria; Pseudomonadales; Pseudomonadaceae.